Long non-coding RNA from Lepidothrix coronata (blue-crowned manakin), 502 nucleotides. RefSeq lists it as uncharacterized. The transcript is spliced from 3 exons. The record is from RefSeq and is a predicted model, not a curated record. NCBI's taxonomy places the organism in Eukaryota, Metazoa, Chordata, Aves, Passeriformes, Pipridae.
CUGGAGGAAUCUCUCUAACGUCUACAAGACUAUUGCUUUGCAACUUACCCUUUAAAAGUUCACAGGACCAGUCCGUUCUCUUGAGUCCUUUAAACAUUAGGUCAGUAAAAAUACCUGAAAUAAGAUCUGAAUGCUGAAGAAAUGUCAAAGAACACCUUAGUAUGUCCAAAUGCUUCAGAAUAUAUUUGCAUUCAUUUUGCAACAUAUUUAGUGCAGAAAGAUAUUGUCAGACUUUUCUACCACUGAAUGCUUCAAAGUUUACUCUCUCUGUUCCUGAUACACAUUGAGUCAUCAACCAAGCAAGGAUGCUGAAAAUGGUCAGUACUCUGGGUUCCGUAAGCCUUCAUGUGCUCGCUGAACUCCAGUGGAAGCUGUGCAUCUUCAGCAACCAAAGAAAAAGCACCUAUCAUUACGUUUUGAAUUAUGGACACAUUAUGUAUUUCAUACUGAAAGAAUAAUAUUAAAAGAGCAUUAUUACCAUUGCUGAGAGGUAAGUUUUAUU